CCAGACGGCUGGAUGAUCGCUCUCAUUUAGGUGAGGGAGGAAAGUCCGGGCUCCACGGAAAAACGGUGGCGGGUAACACCCGCCGGAGGCGACUCCAGGGAUAGUGCCACAGAAAAUAGACCGCCUACUCUGUAGGUAAGGGUGCAAAGGUGCGGUAAGAGCGCACCGCGUUUCUGGUAACAGGAAUGGCAGGGAAAACCCCGCCGGGAGCAAGACCAAAUAGGGAUAGCACGUACUUCGGUACAGGCGUUUUUCCGCGCUCGCUAUCCGGGUAGGUCGCUCGAGGUGGCUGGCAACAGCCAUCCCAGAUGAAUGAUUGUCUUCGACAGAACCCGGCUUACAGGCCGUCUGGGGUU
RNAcentral lists this RNase P RNA (356 nucleotides) under Pseudomonadota bacterium. RNAcentral describes it as "Proteobacteria bacterium (freshwater metagenome) RNase P RNA component class A". It matches the Rfam family "Bacterial RNase P class A". From Rfam's summary of the family: Ribonuclease P (RNase P) is a ubiquitous endoribonuclease, found in archaea, bacteria and eukarya as well as chloroplasts and mitochondria. Its best characterised activity is the generation of mature 5'-ends of tRNAs by cleaving the 5'-leader elements of precursor-tRNAs. The record is from RNAcentral. Lineage: Bacteria; Pseudomonadati; Pseudomonadota.